CUAUCUGUCGCGCCCAAGAUGCGAUUCUAUCCCAAUCACGUGAUGAAUUCAUGAUCUGGGCACAACCGCAUUUUGAGCGCAUAGCAAGGUGGAUAUCAUUACAACAUACCAUGUACUGAAUAGAUGAGAAUACAAGAUAAAGACUUACACUCUCCACAAGCCACAACAUGAAUACAUCAAUACAUCAAUUCAUAGCAAUCAUCAUACAGAAGAGCAGGAUCCGACUACGGAUGAAAUCAAACAAAAAAGAAGAACGACAUCCACCCUGCUAAUCCCAGGCUCCCCGACCCGGAACCUAAUCCCUUGAUUGAAGAAGAAGAACUCCAAAAGCAAUCAAGCAUCACCUCACGUCAGAUCAUCGCAUUACCCGUACCUGCAACUGUUGUUGUAGUAAUAUGUGAGCCACGAGGACUCAGCAAUCCCAUUACCAUGGGUAUCAAGACUACCAAAGCUUAAUGGGUAUGGAAUGGAUAGUGGUGAGGUUGUAGCAAGCACUAAGCAUUUGUAUGGUGGCUAACUUACGAGUACAAGAGUAAGAAGAGUUACUACGCAUAACGGUCGUGAACUAGUAAUGAUCAAUAAGUGAUCCUGAACUACUUACGAGUCAAACAUAACCCCACCGUGUUCUCUUCUCGAACUCACUCGAAAAGAUACGGUCACGGUUACGCACGCGGUUGGUGUAUUUUAAUUCGGAUCUGGUGUCAAGUUCUCUACAACCGGAUAUUAAAAAUUCCCAUCUGCCACAUAACCGGGGACACGGCUCUCGAAAGUUUAAAUCCUGCAGGGGUGUUCCAACUUAGCCCAUGACAAGCUCAUGAUCCACGGAGACAAUCCUCCAUCGCGGGACAUCCGAUCAGACUCGGGAUCCUGGUGCACAAGACAUUUCGACAAUGGUAAAACAAGUCCAGCAAGACCUCCCGGCGUGCCGACACCCUGAUAGUAGCCACGUGUAUCUCGUCUCAGGCCACGUCCGGAUGAACACUACGUACGGCAACCAAAUACCCCAGGUGAAGGGGCGGCACCACAAGUGGCUCUGUUUUGGGACCAACACCAUCAGCACUGGGCCCCCUGUAUUAUGUUGAAAGAAUCCUUGGGGACGCGACCCCCUAUGCUAAUUAAUUAAUUAUCAAGUUUAGUUAUUAUGUUGGGGAAAUGGUAAAACCAAUGUUGGGCCUUGCUGGAAGAGUUUUAUUCAAAGCGAACUGUCAAGAGGAGCCCAUAAACCCUCAUCGUGUUAGGGACGCAAAAUCAAGGAACAUAACACCGGUAUGACGAAAACUAAGACGACAAAAGUGGAACAAAACACCAGGCAAAAGGCCGAGCCUUCCACCCUUUACCAAGUAUAUAGAUGCGUUAAUUAAAUAAGAGAUAUUGUGAUAUCCCAUGAUAUCCAUGUCCCAACAUGGAACAACCUGCAACUGCACCUACAACUAGCAACGCUAUAAGAGGGGCUGAGCAAAGCGGUAACAUAGCCAAACAAUGGUUUGCUAGGAUGGUGGAAAAGGUUAGAGGCUAUCAGGGCAAUUUGGGAGGCUUGAUAAACAAGUGGUGGGUAGCGCGACAUAGCGACAACAUCAAGACAACUAGCAUAGCAAAGAUAGUAGUGAGAUCCAAGGUGACGGUCAUCUUGCCUGAAAUUCCGCUAGGAAGAAGACCGAAUCCAUGAAGUAGACGAACCAACAUAACUGAACGAAUCCUCACAAUCGCAACAUAACCGGAACUAUCAAGAAGAAGCAUCAUGGGAAAGAAGCAAACAACAGGGUAAACAACCAUCACAUAAACAUGGCAUGAUGCAGAAUCAAGUAUGAUGCAUGUCCGAUUUAAUGAGUCAUGGCAUGGCAAAGUGCAACAAACAAUACUACAAAUC
This 1867-nucleotide long non-coding RNA is filed under the name Triticum aestivum (bread wheat). RNAcentral describes it as "long non-coding RNA (TAES_LNC001294)". The record is from RNAcentral. Lineage: Eukaryota; Viridiplantae; Streptophyta; Magnoliopsida; Poales; Poaceae.